Orcinus orca (killer whale) is the source of this 3403-nucleotide long non-coding RNA. RefSeq lists it as uncharacterized. The transcript is spliced from 2 exons. The record is from RefSeq and is a predicted model, not a curated record. Lineage: Eukaryota; Metazoa; Chordata; Mammalia; Artiodactyla; Delphinidae.
GGCGGGGCGGCGGGCCGGGCCGGGCCGGGCAAGAGGCGUAAACAAGUUGGCCCGGCUGGGUGUGGUUGGAGUGCCACACGCCUUCCGGAGGUUCCUUCUCCGCUCGCAGACCCGGGUGCCCCUUCCAGGGUCUCCGUGUGCCCGGCCGCAGAGCUGCGUUCAUGUUUCCCGAAGAGCCCGUAGGGCCCCUGUGGGCGAAGGGUCUGCUGUGGAGCCUUGGAGGAGUGGCAGCUCAUCUGCGGAAAGAGAAAAGCUGCACCAGGGCAGCCUUCUUUCCUUCGCGGAGUAUUUACAGAAGCCCACUUCUGGGCCUACGGAGACCCACGGUGGCUUCUACCCUCAGAUUGCUGGCGUUUCAGACCUGGUCGCGACGUCUAUGGAAAACCACCCUGAUCAGAGCAGGCAGCUUUAAAAGCAGAACCCCUCAGUUCAGUUCCUGCUCCGCUGCUUCCUAGCAGUGUAAACCUGGGCAAGUCUUGAAGGCCCUUGAGCCUCAGUUUCUUCCUCUGUGAAAUGGGCAUAAGAACAGGAGUGAAGUGAGGAUUCAGGGAGAAAAAGUAUGGAGAGUGUUUAGCACGGCGACCCGCGCCGAGUGAAUGCUUGAAGGAUGAUGGCCCUUAUCAGAGGCAGGGGAUAGCAGACGCUGUGACUGGUGCAAAGCAGCCUGAGAGAGGCCGCAGUUGAGCUGUGGUGUCUGAAAGGCUUUCUGAAAGAGUGAGCAUCCCGCCGGGUUUUAAAAGAAAGGUAGGUUUCAUGAAAUAGGAAUGGGAGAGGCGUUUGGGAAGAAAAGAACUAAAGUUUGGAAAGAAAAGAACUAAAAGAAGCAAGGGCCUGCCGGGCCGGGAGAGUUAUGGAAAUAACACGUUUGGUCAUGGGAACUAGUUGGGUCACGAGGCAAGGCGGCAUAUGGCUUAAGGGGCCUGCUGUGUGAGUCGCUAGCACGUUGGGUGCUGUCAGAAUUCCAAGAGGCCCAGGGGGGUCGGCUACUGUUAGUCCGUGGGUUGCCUUUGUGAGAAUUAAAAAAAAAAAGGCACUCCUUCUGGGCCCAUAGCCCACGUGAGCAGAGCCCGGGCUGUAUUUUGGCCUCUACCCACCUACCCGCACCCACACUCCUCCUGGGGACCCUUGAGCCGUGCACAUCCUGUAUAAUCAUUCUGGCUUCUGGGGGAGGUGAGCAUUGACCUGGAAAUUCCACCAGCCUAACACACCAUGGAGGCAGCUGGGGGAAGCCAAGAGGUCGUGAUUCAAACAGACGAGCGUGAAGGCAGGUUUCUGCCAUCGUGCGGACUGGGUGAGCCUUAGUUUCCUCAUCUGCAGCAUAGGGGUAAUAAUAAUGCCUACCUAAUGGGGUGGAUUCAAUGAGACGUUAAGAUGUAACCAGCAUAGAACCUAUGUCAAUAAAUGUUAGUUUUGUUAAUUUGUUAACUGCACUCACAGUCAGCAUGCAGCCACUGCCUGGAGUCAGGCCACCCAGUGCUGACUUCCGUGUAGUUACCCAACAUAGUCGGCUCGGGGCCCAGAGAUGGAAAGUUUGGGGGAGAAGGGGUGGGGUGGUCUGGGUUCAGGAACAGAUUACUGCCUUUGCGUUAGCACCAUGGCAGGAACUCAGGGACAUUCUGAGACCACCAGUGAGUGGGAGAGUUAGGUUAAGGGAUGGAGUCGGGGGAUGGGCACUGCUCCAGAGCUCCAGCCCAGGAGCCCCCCUUCCCCACCCACAAUCUUCCUGGGCUCCGUGAUCUCAUCCUGCUGGAAUGCUCUCCUCCAUGGAAGGGAGCAAUGAUACAGGAGCCUCAUCAGCUCCUGGACCUCAAGGGGGCCAUAACCACGCUGUUACUGUUUAUACAGUGUCUGGAAGAAGAAUGGUAAUUCUCUCAAUAUGGACCACCAGGGGCUGUGAGAAGAAGCUGGGAAGAAAGGCAGAGGCAGCCCUGCCACUGUCUCCGUCCACUCCGCAGGGGCUGCCUUGCUAUUUUCUGCUUUUCUGGAGUUGAUUUUUGUCAUUGGCUAAAUAGACGUUAAUCAGACCACUACCUUCCACGUACCACCCUGGAGCCUCCCCAUGGCAGGGGCUUCCUGACCGGGCUUUCUCCAACCAUCAUGUCCAGCCUGUAUGAGUGUGACAGAAGACAGAAGGGGUGAGCCCUUGGAGGCAGGUGGCACCCACUUGAUGUGUGUGAGGCAUUCAUCUGUGCAGCAGCUCCCCCUCCCCUUCCUGGGGACAACCACAGCAUCACCCUCAGGCCACAGGCACCUGGACCAGGUCUAGCCAAUCCAAGGUCCUGGGCAUCCAGCCAAAGGGCUUGGUACAGUUGGACAUGUGACCCAAGUUGGGCCAAUCAGGGUGCUUCCCUGAGUCUUUAUACAUGGAUGCUGAAAGAGAUGUUGUCUUUCCUCUGGGGUCACUAAACUGGGAUGAGAAAGCUGUGACCCUCCCCCUCUCCCUCACCUACACCAAACGCUGUGAGGAGUCCAGCCAAAAGAUGGAAAAGACACAGAGAAACAGAGACAAAGAGAGACGGAGAUGGAAAGAGAAAUAAUGCCUUUUCCAGCCCUUACUCAUAAAGGACAGUUGGCAUGGCGGCCACAGGUGUGCAGUGCGCGAACCAGCAUCUGGGGAGGACAGAGGGAGUAAGGCUGAGUUGGGAUCCUGGUUCUACAACUUGGCAGUGUGCCCUGGGUGAGUAACCAAACUUCAGUUUCUAUACCUGGAUGUGGGGAUGCCACCAAUAACCUUAAAUACCCAACUCAGAGCGUCACUAGGACGGUCCAGUGAGAGACUCAUGUAAAUGCCUAUCAGAGCGCAUGCCAAAGUGUGGGCACCUAUGAGUAUCGUCAUUACUGUUCCCUGAUGCGUGAGUGUUCUCAGGCUGCUGUGACAAAGUACACAGACUGCGUGGCUUUAAACCACAGAAGUGCGUUCUCUCUAAGUUCUGGACGCCAAAAGUCUGCAAUCAAAGGGUCAGCCGGGCUGGUCCCUUCUGGGGUCUGUGAUGGGGAAUGUCCCGUGCCCUCUCCUACCUUCUGGGGGUUGCCAGCCGUCUUUGAUGUUCUUGGCUUGCAACUGCGUCCCUCUACUCUCUGCUUCACUCUGUGCGUGGCCGUCUCUCUCCCUGUGUGUUUUCACAUGGCCUAAAUUUGGUCACUGGGUUAAAGAGGUGACAGCAGAGAGGCGACACACUUCUCUGUAUGUGUCACUGCGUGUCCUCUCUUUUUAUAAGAACACCAGUCAUGGGGAAUUCCCUGGUGGCUCAGUGGUUAGGACUUGGCGGUUUCACUGUCGCGGCCCCAGGGUCAGUCCCUGGUCAGGGAACUAAGAUCCCACAAGCCACGUGACACAGCAAAGAAAGAAACAAAGAAAGAAAGAACACCAGUCAUUGGGUUUAGGGCCCACAUCAAUUCAGUA